Molecule: small nucleolar RNA, 104 nt
Filed under: Dasypus novemcinctus (nine-banded armadillo)
Lineage: Eukaryota; Metazoa; Chordata; Mammalia; Cingulata; Dasypodidae
Description: Small nucleolar RNA U13 (ENSDNOG00000047749.1)
Rfam family: Small nucleolar RNA U13
Source: RNAcentral
ACCCUUUUGUGGUUCAUAAGCAUGAUGAAUGGGUAUUUAUGCAUUUGUGUGAGAUGUGCCUCCCUCAAACUUUGUGACGACAUCAGCACAUUACCUGUCUGAUG